UGACAGAAGAGAGAGAGCACGAUCCGGUGCUGCAUCUACGGGAGAUAUUAGUGAUCCCUUGGAACCUUCAAAAUACAAGAGAAUGAUUAUAACUAAUUCCACUUGUAGCAUAACUUUAACGUAAUGGACACUAAUUUUUUAAUGGUACGCAAUUGAUAUACGGUUCAAAUUGAACUAAUAUCCUCAGAACCGUUGGUGUAAUCUAAAUGAAUACUCUUAUCCCAAGGUGGUUUAUCAAUGGUAAUAUUCAGUCAU
RNAcentral lists this microRNA precursor (255 nucleotides) under Phelipanche ramosa. RNAcentral describes it as "miR156c". Lineage: Eukaryota; Viridiplantae; Streptophyta; Magnoliopsida; Lamiales; Orobanchaceae. The record is from RNAcentral.